AUUGGCCAUCUAAGAUGGGGAAAAGCGUCCACGCUGUUAAACGAUGUCUACUUUGGAGGGUUGUGGCCUUGAGCCCGUGGCUUUCGGAGCUAACGCGUUAAGUAGACCGCCUGGGGAGUACGGUCGCAAGAUUAAAACUCAAAUGAAUUGACGGGGGCCCGCACAAGCGGUGGAGCAUGUGGUUUAAUUCGAUGCAACGCGAAGAACCUUACCUACUCUUGACAUCCAGAGAAUCCUGCGGAGACGCGGGAGUGCCUUCGGGAACUCUGAGACAGGUGCUGCAUGGCUGUCGUCAGCUCGUGUUGUGAAAUGUUGGGUUAAGUCCCGCAACGAGCGCAACCCUUAUCCUUGUUUGCCAGCGAGUAAUGUCGGGAACUCCAGGGAGACUGCCGGUGAUAAACCGGAGGAAGGUGGGGACGACGUCAAGUCAUCAUGGCCCUUACGAGUAGGGCUACACACGUGCUACAAUGGCGCAUACAGAGGGCGGCGAGCUAGCGAUAGUGAGCGAAUCCCAAAAAGUGCGUCGUAGUCCGGAUUGGAGUCUGCAACUCGACUCCAUGAAGUCGGAAUCGCUAGUAAUCGUGGAUCAGAAUGCCACGGUGAAUACGUUCCCGGGCCUUGUACACACCGCCCGUCACACCAUGGGAGUGGGCUGCAAAAGAAGCAGGUAGUCUAACCAUCGUGACGACGCAUGCCAUAGAGUGACCGCCG
This 711-nucleotide ribosomal RNA is filed under the name Vibrio metschnikovii. RNAcentral's name for it is "bacterial SSU rRNA". It matches the Rfam family "Bacterial small subunit ribosomal RNA", at positions 735 to 1473 of the family's 1533-position model. Lineage: Bacteria; Pseudomonadati; Pseudomonadota; Gammaproteobacteria; Vibrionales; Vibrionaceae. The record is from RNAcentral.